CCUACGGGAGGCAGCAGUGAGGAAUAUUGGGCAAUGCCCGAAAGGGUGACCCAGCAACGCCGCGUGGAGGAUGAAGUCCUUCUGGACGUAAACUCCUUUUAGAGGGGACGAAAAGCCCGAUUUGUCGGGAAUUGACGGUACCCUCAGAAAAGCACCGGCUAACUACGUGCCAGCAGCCGCGGUAAUACGUAGGGUGCAAGCGUUGUCCGGAUUCACUGGGUGUAAAGGGUGCGCAGGCGGGCUCUUAAGUCAAAGGUAAAAUCUCUCGGCUUAACCGAGAAAUUGCCUUUGAUACCGAGAGCCUUGAGUACGGGAGAGGGAGAUGAAAUUCCAAGGGUAGCGGUGAAAUGCGUAGAUAUCUGGAGGAACACCGGAGGCGAGGGCGGUCUCCGGGCCCGUUACUGACGCUCAGGCACGAAAGCGGGGGGAGCAAACAGGAUUAGAUACCCGGGUAGU
Molecule: ribosomal RNA, 456 nt
Filed under: uncultured Ignavibacteria bacterium
Lineage: Bacteria; Pseudomonadati; Ignavibacteriota; Ignavibacteria
Description: partial 16S ribosomal RNA
Rfam family: Bacterial small subunit ribosomal RNA
Source: RNAcentral